UACGUAGGGCGCAAGCGUUGUCCGGAAUUAUUGGGCGUAAAGAGCUCGUAGGCGGCCAGUUGCGUCUGCUGUGAAAUCCCGGGGCUCAACCCCGGGCGUGCAGUGGAUACGGGCUGGCUAGAGGCAGGCAGGGGAGAACGGAAUUCCCAGUGUAGAGGUGAAAUUCGUAGAUAUUGGGAAGAACACCGGUGGCGAAGGCGGCGCUCUGGACCGAGACUGACGCUGAGGCGCGAAAGCGUGGGGAGCAAACAGG
This 253-nucleotide ribosomal RNA is filed under the name uncultured bacterium. RNAcentral's name for it is "partial 16S ribosomal RNA". It matches the Rfam family "Bacterial small subunit ribosomal RNA", at positions 524 to 776 of the family's 1533-position model. The record is from RNAcentral.